GUCAUUACGUUCAACUUCCGUUUCGCCGCCAUUUUGUGAAUGGACGCCGUUGCCAUCGACAUCCCGAAAACAGACUAAAAUAAACGCGAUUCUGAGCCCAAUUAACACGAUUUACAGUCGCUUCGGUUAAGUUACAACCUUAGACGCAUUCUUCAGAAGAACACGACGUGAUUGCGCGCGGUUUCGCCGAGUAUUGAACAAGGAUGUCGGAGGAGCAGAAUCUGGGCGAAGACUCGAUGAUGGUGAUGAAGAUGGAGGAUGAUGAUGGAGAGGGUUUGGGCGAAGAGCAGAUGCCGGGCGCUGAUGAAGAGGGCGGGCAGGGAGAGGCGGAGGGCUCCAAGAUAGAUGCCAGCAAGAAUGAGGAGGAUGAGGGGAAAAUGUUUGUGGGGGGCUUGAGUUGGGACACAACUAAGAAAGACCUGAAGGAUUACUUCAGCAAAUAUGGAGAGGUGGUCGACUGCACCCUGAAACUGGAUCCUUUGACAGGCCGGUCCCGAGGAUUUGGCUUUGUUCUGUUUAAAGAAGCUGACAGUGUGGAAAAGGUGAUCACGCAAAAGGAGCACAAACUGAACGGAAAAGUGAUUGAUCCUAAGAAAGCAAAGGCCAUGAAGUCCAAAGAGCCUGUGAAGAAGAUAUUUGUGGGAGGUCUUUCCCCAGAUACUCCAGAAGAGAAGAUCCGAGAGUACUUUGAUGGCUAUGGAGAGGUGGAUUCCAUUGAGCUGCCAAUGGAGAAUAAAACAAAUAAAAGACGAGGUUUUUGUUUCAUUACAUUUAAAGAGGAGGAACCAGUAAAGAAAAUUAUGGAGAAGAAGUACCACAACAUCGGUUUAAGUAAGUGUGAGAUCAAGGUGGCCAUGUCUAAGGAGCAGUACCAGCAGCAGCAGCAGUGGGGCGGAAGAGGAGGAUACCCCUCCAGGUCCAGAGGGAGAGGAGGUCCCAAUCAGAACUGGAACCAGGGAUACGGAAACUACUGGAAUCAAGGUUAUGGAAAUUACGGGAACUAUGGCUACAACAAUCAAGGCUAUGGUGGAUACGGGGGCUAUGAUUACACGGGUUACAACAACUACUACGGAUAUGGUGACUACAGCAAUCAGCAGAGCGGCUACGGCAAAUCCCCGAGGCGAGGCGGCCACCAAAACACUUACAAGCCGUAUUAACCUUUAUACGCCAGCCGAAGUGUGCAGGUACGUGCUCGCGUUGCUCACGCCGACGCAUCUUUAGCUCUCUAAAUCAUCACCAUUUGAUCUUUUUUGUAAUGUACAUUGCUUAAUUUUUGUUUUUCUCUAAAGUUUCACAGCACCCUGAAGUGCUUUACAGUAGUGGUAACAUAGAGACUUUUGGCAGUAAUGUAACAGCUGGCUUUUGGCUGGCCAUUUUGUAACUGUAAAAAGUAACAGGUACAGUACUGCUAAAUGGGAAAAUACCAGAAAAUAUGGAAUUACAAGGAAAGAAAACCGAAGAAUGUUGUCUUCUCCUAACUCUGACAUAUACCUUGUUUGUACCUGCCAGCGGGGACUUCCUUGCAGGCCAUGAGCUGACUUCCCGAUUGUCUCAGGGUACGAGAGGCGUACGCUCUCGAAUGCUCCCAUUUGACGGCAGGGCGAUUGAAAGUCCCCCCCCCCCCGAGAGGAGAAAACGAGAGGCUUAAAUGCGGAGUCGAUCAACACGUUACUACACUUUGGGCGCCAGUUGAAAUCUGAAAUUACUUUCAAGGACACGCGCUAAAGUUUCAAGUGUUAUUUCAAUUGAUAUUCAUCCUGAAUUUUUUUUUUC
This is an RNA transcript of Rhinichthys klamathensis goyatoka, 1773 nucleotides long. It is a transcript of the gene named heterogeneous nuclear ribonucleoprotein D, with no coding region annotated. The transcript has 8 exons. The record is from RefSeq and is a predicted model, not a curated record. Lineage: Eukaryota; Metazoa; Chordata; Actinopteri; Cypriniformes; Leuciscidae.